CGCACCUGGACGCAGAACGGCGCGCCGCGCCCAGUGUCCCGCCGCCUCCCGCAAGCGGAAAUAGUUCCCGGAACGCCUGCGGUCCCGGGCCGCCUCCCAGACUCCAGGGGAGCCGUCCCUCCAACUCCCGGGAGCUGCCGAGGGAGGGGCGGAUCCGGGCCAGCUCCUCUGCCAGAGCCCAGCCCAGAGAGGGUGACCGGGGGACGCAGGGCCGGGUUUCCAGCCCCACGAGAGGGAUGGUGUAGGGACCGGGGCGUCGCGGCGAGACGCCUUUCCUCGGGGGGGGGUGCGGGGGGGCGCCCACCUCCUCCGUGUCGGCCGGAGGGUCUGCAACAGCGGGUGGAAUUUUUAGCACAAGCGAGGGAGGAGGUUGGAGCGACGAGAGGCGGGAGCGGAAAGGGCGCGGAGGCCGGGGCUGCAGCGCGCUCCACCGCCCAGCUGCAGGUGGCGCCUCUCGCCACCCGCACCCCGCUGCGCCCAGGGAAGGGCCGAUGGCGCGCCGUCCUCCCUCCUCCCUUCGGGAAGCCUGCGACGUCCCAUCCCCUCCGACGCAGGCCCGGGAAAGGCUCAAAAGGUUCGAGGUCGCGUUCCUGCUAUCCCGCGGGCUUCUCUCACUCUUAGAUCCCGCACCAGAGGAAGCGGAUCUCCUUGAGUGGGCAAAGCAGGGGUGAGGGGCUGGGGGCAGUUCCACUGACAACGGGACGGGGGCGAGAGGGGUUUACCCAGUACAUACAGAAACAGCAGAAAAGAAAUCUAUUUUUAAUGGCUUUGGCUUUAUAGCACGAAGCAGGCACCCUCUCGUUAAAGGCACACAGUCCUCUCUUCUGCCCCACCUCCUGGGUCCUUAAAAUCGAGUCCUGAGUUCCAGAGGGGUCACUGCAAGGCAGCAGGGAAGGGAGAGGGUCACAGUUUCACUCUGUGAGUAUCAGACACCCAGGGCCAAGGCCCAGACUGGCCUCUGAAGCUACAGGUUAGAGUCUGGGUACAGGAGGCAGCCGAGAUGGUCCCUGAGAACAGACAGUCCCGGUCCCCCGGAGCAAGCUCCAUCCUCUGCAGAGCUGUGAGGUCAGUGCCCCACAUCCUGGGGCAACGUGAAGUCCCUGAAGCUGUAGAAGGAGAUGUCACCAUGAUCCACCAGGGCAAAGAUCAGAGGGACAUCCCCACUCUGGUACUGCAGAGACGGCACUGCUUGGAAACUUACCGGGCACCUCCAUCAGGAAGGUGUGUUGUCUGCAGCACAGAGAUAUGCUGAAGGACCACGGCUACAAGGACACAGAAAACAAGGUACUGGGGAGGGGAGUCACAUUUCUCAGUCUGCCAUCUAGUUUAGGACGGCCAGAUUUAGCAACUUUUUUUUUUAAACGGAGUCUCACUCUGUCACCCAGGCUGGAGUAUAGUGGCGUGAUCUUGGCUCACUGUGACCUCUGCCUCCCAGGUUCAAGCAAUUCUCCUGUCUCAGCCUCCUGAGUAGCUGGGAUUAUAAGUGUGCACCACCACACCCGGCUAAUUUUUGUAUUUUUAGUAGAGAUGGUUUCACCAUGUUGCCCAGGUUGGUCUCGAACUCCUGACCUCAGGUGAUCUGCCCGCCUCGGCCUCCCAAAGUGCUGGGAUUACGGGUAUGAGCCACCGUGUCCAGCCUAGCAACAUUUUUUUUUUUUUUUUAGUAUAAGCAUAUCCCAUGCAAUUUUUGGAACAUAUACUGAAAAAUUAUACUGAAAGUCAAAUCAAACUGAUCUGGCAACCCUAUCUAGUUACCUACAAUCUACCGUGUUCCCAUAAAGGCUUUAAGUAAUUUGGAAUCCGUUAACACAUUUAGCUUAUUCUUUCCCCAUUGGUUCCCUGGGCUUAGAGCAGACAGCAAGCCUUUCUUUCACUUGGCCAAGAAGGCACCUCCUUUUCCCAUCUAACAGGUUGGGAUCACAGCUAGUUGGUGGCAAAGCCAUCCACAUGCAUGUUGUUUAUCUUUUUAAGGAUAUGGUCAUAGUUUCCACCCCUCCUUACCUCUCCUGACUCACCAUCUCUAAGCCUUCCCACACAGGCCCUGCUGCAGCCGCCGGAGAACUGACCGUGCUUGUGGGUCCACUCCCUCCUCCCACAUCUUCCUUAAGCCUCAAUCCAUCCCAGUUCAUCCAUGCCCUUUCCAAAGUCCUGUGAUUCCUCAGCUGCCAGUGGCCCUCGAAGAUGUGGCAGGCUGAGGGGGUACCUGGGGAGCUGGCCUGGCCAGGACUCAGCAGCGGGGUGACGGGCUGGCCCCACAGGUGAGGGGCCCGGCGCUGGCUCCUCUGCACCUGCCGCCGCUGCAGCAGCUCCUUGUACUCCCGCCAGCUGGAGCACCGCUGCACCUCGGGAUCGGCGUUGACAUCUUCCUGGAACUGCGCGGCCUCCGCGUGGUGCUCCCGUUCCCGCCUGGAGAGCUUCUCCUUGCGCUGGUUCAGCUUCUGGCACCAGGACUCAGCGUCUGUCUCCCGCCCAGCCACGUUGGCCGGGAGCAGCUCUGGGGCUGGGGCGCGCAGAAGGGUGUGGCGGCUGUCUGAAGCCAUGUUGGGGAAGGAGAUCUGCUCGAAGUUCCAGCGCCGCUUACCGGCUCCCGUGACUCCGUUCUCGGCUCUGCCACUCUCCCAGCUGCACCCCACCCCCUCCCUGGCCGGGCCAGGGCUGGGGCCCAGGGACCCCAGAAGCUGAAAGGGGCCCCCUGGGCCCUUCAUGGGGCUUGACUCCUGGGGUUUCUCCUCUGGGCAUUGGCUGGGCUGGCUGCAGGGAGGUGGGCUGGAGGCUGCCAGACUCUUGGGUUGCAGGGAGUUGUCCAGGGCCUUGGCCUUCUUAUUAAUGGACCUGAGGGACGUGGGGGAAAAGCAGCACAUCUGCCCCUGGUUGCUAAGGUGCACACGUCCCAUGGGAGCUGAAGGCAGGUCCCCUAGUGUCUCCCUGAGCCUGCAUGGGAGCUGCUGGUUCUUAGAAAGCCUGUGCAUUUUCCAAGGUCCCAGACACCAGCACUCCCUGGGGGGCCACCGUGAUGUGGGAGUUACCGAGGGCUGGAGCUGCUCCUCUUUCUCUUGCCAUCUCCAUCCUCCAAGUGCUGCACGCUGGCAUCCAGGUUAAGCUGCCUCUCAUACGGGGACAGGACAGAGCUGUGGGGUGAGAACAGCGGGUGGGCCACUGACCCACCUCCUCAGCCUGGGGAUCUGGUGGGAUGUGUAAGGAAACGGGCCAAGAGGACAGUCAGUGGGCCAGGAUCGGAGCCACACCCAAGUGCUAAGGCCCUAAGCAGACCCCCAUGAGGGGUACAGGCCCAGCCAGGGGGCCCAGCCAUGUGCCUCUGCCUAGGCAAUGGCCCAGAGGAGCUAGCAAACUUGGUAAAUAUAGAAAAAUAAAAACCUUGGAUAACUAUUGUUAACAUCUUUCUUUCGUUUAUGUACACACUAAUCUCUCUCCAUAUAUUUUUUUCUAACAAAAAUGUCAUUGUACUAGCAUACUGCUUUGUGAUCUUUUUUUUCACUCAAUAAUAUAUUGUGG
This 3513-nucleotide long non-coding RNA is filed under the name Homo sapiens (human). RNAcentral describes it as "non-protein coding lnc-CASKIN2-1:5". The record is from RNAcentral. Lineage: Eukaryota; Metazoa; Chordata; Mammalia; Primates; Hominidae.